GCAUCGGCUAACGUCCGUGCCAGCAGCCGCGGUAAUACGGAGGAUGCAAGCGUUAGUCCGGAAUGAUUGGGCGUAAAGCGUUCCGUAGGUGGCUGUGUGUGUCUAUUGUUAAAGAGUUUGGCUCAACCAAAUAAGGGCGGUAGAAACUACACAGCUAGAGUGCGUUCGGGGCAGAGGGAAUUCCUGGUGUAGCGGUGGAAAUGCGUAGAGAUCAGGAAGAACACCGGUGGCGAAAGCGCUCUGCUAGGCCGCAACUGACACUGAGGGACGAAAGCUAGGGGAGCGAAUGGGAUUAGAUACCCCAGUAGUCCUAGCCGUAAACGAUGGAUACUAGGCGUUGAGAGUAUCGACCCUCUCAGUGCCGUAGCUAACGCGUUAAGUAUCCCGCCUGGGGAGUACGCACGCAAGUGUGAAACUCAAAGGAAUUGACGGGGGCCCGCACAAGCGGUGGAGUAUGUGGUUUAAUUCGAUGCAACGCGAAGAACCUUACCAGGGCUUGACAUGUCUGGAACUCUGGGGAAACUCGGAGUUGCCUUCGGGAGCCAGAACACAGGUGGUGCAUGGGCUGUCGUCAGCUCGUGUCGUGAGAUGUUGGGUUAAGUCCCGCAACGAGCGCAACCCUCGUACUUAAGUUGCCAGUCAUUUCGGAUGGGCACUCUACAGGAGACUGCCGGUGACAAACCGGAGGAAGGUGGGGAAUGACGUCAAGUCAGCAUGCCCCUUACGUCCUGGGCUACACACGUACUACAAUGCUACGGACAAAGGG
Molecule: ribosomal RNA, 766 nt
Filed under: Hapalosiphon welwitschii Ind22
Lineage: Bacteria; Bacillati; Cyanobacteriota; Cyanophyceae; Nostocales; Hapalosiphonaceae
Description: bacterial SSU rRNA
Rfam family: Bacterial small subunit ribosomal RNA
Source: RNAcentral